This 91-nucleotide transfer RNA is filed under the name Sphaerotilus natans. RNAcentral describes it as "tRNA-Ala". The record is from RNAcentral. Lineage: Bacteria; Pseudomonadati; Pseudomonadota; Betaproteobacteria; Burkholderiales; Sphaerotilaceae.
UGGUCGCUGGUGCGCGGUGAUGCCAAGGUGGCCUGGCAUGCCUUCCGGCACCCGCAUGCGCCGGGCUGGUUCCGUGCCGGCGUGAUCGGCC